RNAcentral lists this unclassified non-coding RNA (285 nucleotides) under uncultured Trametes. Its description in RNAcentral is "sequence contains ITS2". The stretch from base 1 to 52 matches the Rfam family "5.8S ribosomal RNA", at positions 103 to 154 of the family's 154-position model. The record is from RNAcentral. Lineage: Eukaryota; Fungi; Basidiomycota; Agaricomycetes; Polyporales; Polyporaceae.
AACGCACCUUGCGCUCCUUGGUAUUCCGAGGAGCAUGCCUGUUUGAGUGUCAUGGAAUUCUCAACUUAUAAAUCCUUGUGAUCUAUAAGCUUGGACUUGGAGGCUUGCUGGCCCUUGCGGUCGGCUCCUCUUGAAUGCAUUAGCUCGAUUCCGUACGGAUCGGCUCUCAGUGUGAUAAUUGUCUACGCUGUGACCGUGAAGUGUUUUGGCGAGCUUCUAAUCGUCCAUUAGGACAACUUUUUAACAUCUGACCUCAAAUCAGGUAGGACUACCCGCUGAACUUAA